CAGACUGCGGGUGCUAACGUCCGUAGUCAAGAGGAAAACAAUCCAGACCGCCAGCUAAGGCCCCAAAAUCAUAGUUAAGUGGGAAACGAUGUGGGAAGGCAUAGACAGCUAGGAGGUUGGCUUAGAAGCAGCCACCCUUUAAAGAAAGCGUAAUAGCUCACUAGUCGAGUCGGCCUGCGCGGAAGAUGUAACGGGGCUAAAACUAUGUGCCGAAGCUGCGGAUGUAUACUUUGUAUACGUGGUAGGGGAGCGUUCUGUAAGCCGAUGAAGGUGUGUUGAGAAGCAUGCUGGAGGUAUCAGAAGUGCGAAUGCUGACGUGAGUAACGACAAAACGGGUGAAAAACCCGUUCGCCGAAAGACCAAGGGUUCCAGUCCAACGUUAAUCGGGGCUGGGUGAG
Molecule: ribosomal RNA, 398 nt
Filed under: Klebsiella pneumoniae
Lineage: Bacteria; Pseudomonadati; Pseudomonadota; Gammaproteobacteria; Enterobacterales; Enterobacteriaceae
Description: partial 23S ribosomal RNA
Rfam family: Bacterial large subunit ribosomal RNA
Source: RNAcentral